Molecule: non-coding RNA, 3677 nt
Organism: Taeniopygia guttata (zebra finch)
Lineage: Eukaryota; Metazoa; Chordata; Aves; Passeriformes; Estrildidae
Source: RefSeq, a predicted model, not a curated record
UCGAGCACAGCAGCAACAAAGCAAGGCAGGAUCUGCAGCGACCCUCACUCACAGUCAGCCCGCCGCUCUAAGCCCACCAGAGCCCCUUCCCCUGGCGCGCUGACAGCUCCGCCCGCCGGGCUCGGGCCGUCCUCCGGCGGGGCCGCCGGGCCGCAGGCGCCGUCAGCGGCCGGAGGCUGCCGGGAGCGGAGCGCCGGGCGGGGAGAGCGGCGGGCCCCGAGCUCCCCCUCCCGGAGCCGCCGCCCGCUCCCGCAGCCGUCCUUCGGCUCCGCACCGUCCUGUCCACGCGGCGAGCAGGGACAGCCCGACAGCGAAGGUCAGCAUCGGCAGAGUUAAUGCAAAACUCCUUCCGCUGUCCACACGAUUUUUCUCCUGAAAACUCGUCAAACUUUUAAUUUAGCUCUUGAAGGCUUAGGGAAAGUCAGUCCUCCGAUCAACAGUGCCACAGCUUCAGCCGCUGCUGGCAAGGAUACACACACUGUCCACAUUAACUCCAAAUUCAGGUUCUGAACUCCACACAAUAAUGUACAGUAACUAGUAAUGAAAAAUUAAGCUUCUGAGGAUCUGAUUAUCUUUCAUUUUUACACAGUGGAGUACAAGCGGACCAAGCAGAUUAAGAUUCUGUUACAGUCAGCUGCUGGAUAAACACAAGGGUCUUUACCACCUAUUUUUCUUCUUACAAGUACUCCAUACUCACAAGUAUGCAGCUAUCAGAGCUAUGGUGUCACCACCCAAAAUAAAUUCAGUCAACAAGCUGAGCUUUCCUGUGGCACAGUUCUGCAUAUUAAAGCAUCCCUCUGCCAAACCUUCAGCCAGCUGACUGCUGCUGGAAAUGGUGGGGUCCCUGUUAACCAGAAAUAAUUCCUUUGACAUAACUCUCAAGAUUUGGAAUGACAGCAUGUUCAAAGUUUAAUGAUACCAUUAUAAGUGAUUUGUUUCAACUAUAUUUAAAUAGGCAGCCAUUCAGCUCUUCUUACAUACAUGCAACUCCUCUUGCAGUGAAGGGGUUGCCGGCUUGUCCACUAAAUCCAGCCAAAACCAAGAAAUCUGCAGCAGACCAGCAUGGGACCUCAGUUUAAAUGCAAAUUUAUUCUUACAGCUGUGUCCAACAUGAAACAUACCAACAAAUGUCAGCUCACCCUGCAAGGUAUUUUACAAUGUUUCAGAAUUAAAUUCCACAUAUUUGAACACAUUCAUGGAGUGGUGUUCCCCAGGAAAUUAAGCUAGAAUUGUUCUCUGGAGUGCUCCAUUCCCUGGCUGUGCACCCUCCUGACUAUUCAGAGAUCCCAGUGUGGCGGAAGCAGGAAUGGCCCCAAUUUAUUCAGGUUUCUAUCUUAAUCACAGAAUCUUCUGCCUGAGGCCUUGGAAGAAGAUGGGGAGUGUGAAAACAGACCCAGAAUUCUCAAAGAUUACUUACAUGCCGUGGAUAUUUCAGCACCAAAGGACAGAAGAGGGGUGUUAGAGAAAUGCAAGUCAGAGUGCAUGAGAAAGCCAAAAUUGUACUGAUUUUGCAUGUGGAGAUUAUUUCAGAAGAAUCUCUGAAUCUCUAGCUGAUCAUUUCUGCAGACAUCUUAUCUAAACCACAUUUAGCACAAAAGAAGACAGAGGACCCAGAUUUCUAUGAAUUCCAAUUACCCUGGCUCAACUCCUCCAAGAAAUCAAGCAUCUGAUCCAUUUUCAGAACCACACUCCACAGAGCUGUGUUUGUGGCCUAUGAGACAAUCAUUUUACUCUUAGAGCAUUAUAAACCUUCAUAAACAAAUCAAACUGUUGCACUGAGGAAGAGUACAAAGCUCUGACUAACAAGCAGCACUUGACAGACACUCAGUUAUGCUUACAUUACAUUACAGAUGAGACUACAGCCUCAGCAAUCCAAACUUUUCACAGCAGCUCCUCCAGAAAUCCCAUAUGAUUCCGGAGUAUUGUUUAAUGUCUUGGAAAAAUGAGGAAUACUGGUUUACUUGAGGUGUGCCUUAGUCCUGCACAUAACACUCCUAAAUCUAUGAAUUAGACUGUUAUUUUUGGGAAAUCCUAGAAGGACUGACAUAUAUCCAUAUUCUGAGAUGGUGUCUUAUUUUUUCUGCUUAUCAUCUCCAUGUAUCAGAAUCUGUCCAUAUUUGAGGCAUGGAACUCCACUCCCUUUCACUUGAUUUCAGUCAGACAUGCAUGAAGUUUGCUCCAUUCUAUUCAUACAGAGAUUUAUGACAAACAGGGUUCUCUUCCUUUUCAUGCUCUAUCCAGCCAAAAAGGUGUUAUCCAUAUAGGUGUCAAAAUGUAUGCAAAUCACAUUUUAAAAUCGGCUUCUAACAGCGUAAUAAAAGACAAGGUACCCUCUGCUUUCUUAGGAAAACAAAAUCUUUUCAGAAAGUGUUUCUUUAAUGUCUAGCCCAGAAUUUCUUGUUUCUUGGUUAGACCCCCUAGGGGUUCCUAAAGACCAGUUUGUCUUAUUAAAGAUGAACUAUCAUAACAACAAAAUUAAGAACAAGUUCUGUUUCCAUUUUGAGUUGGACACAGUUUUCUUGCUGUAAACCUUCAAACCUAAUCUAGGCAAGUUGAAGUACCAAGAAGUGAUUCCACUGUCUUUCCAAAAUAGCUAGAGUUAAUAUUGUGCAAUCAUGUAAAAGCCAGUCUUUUUUCUCAGUUGCUUAUAAAUGACUUCAAACACUUGGGCACCUCACCAGAGCCAUGGGUUCAGCAGUACCACUGCAGAUGGCUCAGGUACACAUCAUGCUUAGGUACUUCCAGGAUAACCAAUGAAACUAACCCAACAAGGAACAUACAUCCCUCCUUCUACACUUAAACCUGAAUUCAGCAAAUGAGCUCAUGGGCACAAUAUAUCUUCAGUACUUUUGUCAUACAACUUUUUCUACUGCUCUAUGUCUCUAAAAGUUUUUGAGUAUUUUAAAACAACAUUUACUAACAUAAUUUACUGAUAAUAUUUACUAAUUUAAUAAUUCUAAAUGAUACACAAAGAGUUAAUGAAUUCACAAGUAAAAUAUACAAAAAUAGUAUUUCUUAAAGGAGCAGUGCUGCUGUACCUUGAAGUGGUUUCUGAAGUUUAUUACUUUUGUCCUCAUAUAGUGCUUCCUUAAGGUGUUACAGGGCCUCAAAUGUAUCCUUUAACUACCUAUAGCAAACAAGAACAAAUCUGUUGCUUGAUGCAUGCAAUGCUGCUCACGCCUUCAUAAGCACCCUAACAUUAUACUUCUUAGCUGUGAAAUUCCACAAUCACAGGUACUACUUGGUAUCUCUUACUGACUUAAUUCAACUGAUAAUAAAGGGUUUAUUUCAAUUAGUCUCACAUUAGAAUCAGUGAUUUAGAUUUAAAUUAAAUUCACAUAAUUUUCACGUCCUGUGGGUAUGCAUGUUUUGACAGUACUGCAAAAACGUGCUGCAAGUUGCAUAGAAGUUGAUUGAAACCGUCAAACCAGUAUUUAAUUGCUUGCUGACAUGUAUCUCAAAAAUAGUCCAGAGUGUAUUUAUCUGAACAUACAAAAGCACAUGCAGAAAACACAUUUUAAUGCCAUCUCCAUGCAUUGAAGACAUACAGGUUUUAUUGUCAGAUUUUUAAUUCCUGAAUCAAACAUAGGUUUUUGCCUGUCAUUUGCUGUAUGACUACAUGCAUCACCUCAGACUGAGAAUUCUUUUUUCCAUAUAAUGCAUAGUAUAAUCCAAAA